RNAcentral lists this long non-coding RNA (249 nucleotides) under Vigna radiata. RNAcentral's name for it is "long non-coding RNA (VRAD_LNC008482)". The record is from RNAcentral. Lineage: Eukaryota; Viridiplantae; Streptophyta; Magnoliopsida; Fabales; Fabaceae.
GAUGAGAAGGUACAAACCAAAAGGAAUAGAGGAGCAAUGGGGAACAAGUGAAAACACAGUCAAAUCACACCCAAAACCCUCUAAUUCAAUCCUCUUCUUGACUCCAUUAUUCACACAACAAUUUUUUUUUAAUUUUCUCAUUUUUCUGUAUUUUUUUUCUCUUUUUUUUUCAUCUUGUCUCUUUUCUUUUUUCUAUUCAACACACAAUUUAUAGGGAAAAGCUACAUCAUAUUUACACAACAAAAACAA